Molecule: ribosomal RNA, 601 nt
Filed under: uncultured Bacilli bacterium
Lineage: Bacteria; Bacillati; Bacillota; Bacilli
Description: bacterial SSU rRNA
Rfam family: Bacterial small subunit ribosomal RNA
Source: RNAcentral
GACGAACGCUGGCGGCGUGCCUAAUACAUGCAAGUCGAACGCUUCUUUUCCACCGGAGCUUGCUCCACCGGAAAAAGAGGAGUGGCGAACGGGUGAGUAACACGUGGGUAACCUGCCCAUCAGAAGGGGAUAACACUUGGAAACAGGUGCUAAUACCGUAUAACAAUCAAAACCGCAUGGUUUUGAUUUGAAAGGCGCUUUCGGGUGUCGCUGAUGGAUGGACCCGCGGUGCAUUAGCUAGUUGGUGAGGUAACGGCUCACCAAGGCCACGAUGCAUAGCCGACCUGAGAGGGUGAUCGGCCACAUUGGGACUGAGACACGGCCCAAACUCCUACGGGAGGCAGCAGUAGGGAAUCUUCGGCAAUGGACGAAAGUCUGACCGAGCAACGCCGCGUGAGUGAAGAAGGUUUUCGGAUCGUAAAACUCUGUUGUUAGAGAAGAACAAGGAUGAGAGUAACUGUUCAUCCCUUGACGGUAUCUAACCAGAAAGCCACGGCUAACUACGUGCCAGCAGCCGCGGUAAUACGUANGUGGCAAGCGUUGUCCGGAUUUAUUGGGCGUAAAGCGAGCGCAGGCGGUUUCUUAAGUCUGAUGUGAAAGC